CUAUACUUAAGCUUGGAAUGCUGGUAUGUUUAUAGAGGACAUACUCAUCCUAUGUUGGUAGGUUUAUAGAGGACAUACGCAUCCUAUGUUGGUAAGUUUAUAGAGAAGAUACGCAUCCUUUGUUGAUAGGUUUAUAGAAAAUAUACUCAUUCUAUGUUGGUAGGUUUAUAGAGGACAUACUCAUCCUAUGUUAGUAGGUUUAUAGAGGAUAUACUCAUCCGAGGUUUGUAGGUUUAUAGAAGACAUACGCAUCCUAUGUUGGUAGGUUUAUAGAGGACAUAUUCAUCCUUUGUUGGUAGGUUUAUAGAGGACAUAUUCAUCCUUUGUUGGUAGGUUUAUAGGGGACAUACACAUCAUGUGUGGGUAAAUUUAUAGAGGACAUACUCAUCCUUUAUUGGUAGGUUUUUAUAGGACAUAUUCAUCGUUUUUUGUUGGUAGGUUUAUGGAGGAUAUACUCACACUAUGUUGGUAGGUUUAUAGAAGACAUACUCAUCCUUUGUUGGUAUGUUUAUAGAGGACAUACUCAUCCUAUGUUGGUUGGUUUAUAGAAGACAUACUCAUUCUUUGUUGGUAGGUUUAUAGAGGACAUACUCAUCCUUUGUUGGUAGGUUUAUAGAGGACAUACUCAUCCUAUGUUGGUAGGU
This is a long non-coding RNA of Mytilus californianus (California mussel), 644 nucleotides long. RefSeq lists it as uncharacterized. The record is from RefSeq and is a predicted model, not a curated record. The transcript is spliced from 3 exons. NCBI's taxonomy places the organism in Eukaryota, Metazoa, Mollusca, Bivalvia, Mytilida, Mytilidae.